Molecule: ribosomal RNA, 253 nt
Filed under: uncultured bacterium
Lineage: Bacteria
Description: partial 16S ribosomal RNA
Rfam family: Bacterial small subunit ribosomal RNA
Source: RNAcentral
UACAGAGGUCCCAAGCGUUGUUCGGAUUCAUUGGGCGUAAAGGGUGCGUAGGCGGCGCGGUAAGUCGGGUGUGAAAUCUCGGGGCUUAACUCCGAAACUGCAUUCGAUACUGCCGUGCUUGAGGACUGGAGAGGAGACUGGAAUUUACGGUGUAGCGGUGAAAUGCGUAGAUAUCGUAAGGAAGACCAGUGGCGAAGGCGGGUCUCUGGACAGUUCCUGACGCUGAGGCACGAAAGCUAGGGGAGCAAACAGG